UCCGUAGGUGGAUCAAUCAGUCAGAGGUGAAAUCCUGCAGCUUAACUGUAGAACUGCCUUUGAUACUGUUGAUCUUGAGUCAUUAUGAAGUGGUUAGAAUGUGUAGUGUAGCGGUGAAAUGCAUAGAUAUUACACAGAAUACCGAUUGCGAAGGCAGAUCACUAAUAAUGUACUGACACUGAGGGACGAAAGCGUGGGGAGCGAACAGGAUUAGAUACCAUGGUAGUCC
This 229-nucleotide ribosomal RNA is filed under the name uncultured bacterium. RNAcentral describes it as "partial 16S ribosomal RNA". It matches the Rfam family "Bacterial small subunit ribosomal RNA", at positions 568 to 796 of the family's 1533-position model. The record is from RNAcentral.